CUUUGCCUGCCGGAGGCCACCGGCGAUGGCGAGGGGGAGAGGAGGCUGGCAUUGGGGAGGCCGCGGGAGGGGCGGUGGUCGCCGCCCGUGCCGCCCCGGGGAGAGAGCGACGCGGGGGCCAGGAGGGUCGCGGACCACCCUACCGGGCUUUUUGAACUAUCUGCGGUCCAAGAACGAAGAUCGUCAAUGGAGUAGAUCAUGAGAGCAAUUUACAUGGCCAUCAGAAGCCACCAUCUCGUCCAGUUUUCCUGAUCAUCGGAAGUCGGAAGCAUUAUGGCGAACACCUUGCGACCAUGGUGUCCAGUGUCCACGGCUACAGCGGUGCCCCGUCGUCCUCCCUCCUCCCGUGCUCCCGGCCACUCCUCCGGCCGCCGAUGUACUCAAGAAAUCUAGUGCGGGCCCAGGUUGACGGUUUGGUGCGUCCGUUCUUUUCCUUGUACCGGGCCAUCAGUUUGGCCCAUGUCAAGGUAAGGAGCCGGUUAUAUCGUAUUUGAAAUUUUGAAUUGUACCACACCGCUUACGGAAGGGGAUCCAAACCGAUUUAUAAUCUGGUUCCGGGACAAGGUCUUCACCACUUGAUAAGAGUGGUAAGCUAUAUCAAAAACAUUGAACAAUCAUCAGUAAUUGAGAUUUCACCAAGUCAUUGUUCUUUCGAGGGUGAUUUCCUUGGGUAUGAGCACAUGUCAUGUUUACCUACACACCGACAUGGUGUGCAUAGCUUUUUUU
This is a long non-coding RNA of Triticum aestivum (bread wheat), 726 nucleotides long. RefSeq lists it as uncharacterized. The record is from RefSeq and is a predicted model, not a curated record. Lineage: Eukaryota; Viridiplantae; Streptophyta; Magnoliopsida; Poales; Poaceae. The transcript is spliced from 2 exons.